This 253-nucleotide ribosomal RNA is filed under the name uncultured bacterium. RNAcentral describes it as "partial 16S ribosomal RNA". It matches the Rfam family "Bacterial small subunit ribosomal RNA", at positions 524 to 776 of the family's 1533-position model. The record is from RNAcentral.
UACGUAGGGGGCGAGCGUUGUCCGGAAUCAUUGGGCGUAAAGCGCGUGUAGGCGGCUCGGCAAGUCUGGUGUGAAAACUAGAGGCUCAACCUCUAGCUGUCGCUGGAUACUGCCGGGCUUGAGUCCGGAAGAGGAGAGUGGAAUUCCUGGUGUAGCGGUGGAAUGCGCAGAUAUCAGGAGGAACACCAAUGGCGAAGGCAGCUCUCUGAUACGUGACUGACGCUGAGACGCGAAAGCGUGGGGAGCGAACAGG